GAUGAACGCUGGCGGCGUGCUUAACACAUGCAAGUCGAACGAACCUUCGGGUCAGUGGCGGACGGGUGAGUAACGCGUGAGAAUCUGCCCUCAGGAGGGGGAUAACGGUUGGAAACGACCGCUAAUACCCCAUAUGCCGAUAGGUGAAAUGAAUUUCGCCUGAGGAUGAGCUCGCGUCUGAUUAGCUUGUUGGUGAGGUAAUGGCUCACCAAGGCUUCGAUCAGUAGCUGGUCUGAGAGGAUGAUCAGCCACACUGGGACUGAGACACGGCCCAGACUCCUACGGGAGGCAGCAGUGGGGAAUUUUCCGCAAUGGGCGAAAGCCUGACGGAGCAACGCCGCGUGAGGGACGAAGGCCUCUGGGCUGUAAACCUCUUUUCUCAAGGAAGAAGAUAUGACGGUACUUGAGGAAUAAGCCACGGCUAAUUCCGUGCCAGCAGCCGCGGUAAUACGGGAGUGGCAAGCGUUAUCCGGAAUUAUUGGGCGUAAAGCGUCCGCAGGCGGCCUUUCAAGUCUGCUGUUAAAGCGUGGAGCUUAACUCCAUUAUGGCAGUGGAAACUGAUCGGCUUGAGUAUGGUAGGGGCAGAGGGAAUUCCCGGUGUAGCGGUGAAAUGCGUAGAUAUCGGGAAGAACACCAGUGGCGAAGGCGCUCUGCUGGGCCAUUACUGACGCUCAUGGACGAAAGCCAGGGGAGCGAAAGGGAUUAGAUACCCCUGUAGUCCUGGCCGUAAACGAUGAACACUAGGUGUCGGGGGAAUCGACCCCUUCGGUGUCGUAGCUAACGCGUUAAGUGUUCCGCCUGGGGAGUACGCACGCAAGUGUGAAACUCAAAGGAAUUGACGGGGGCCCGCACAAGCGGUGGAGUAUGUGGUUUAAUUCGAUGCAACGCGAAGAACCUUACCAGGGUUUGACAUCCUGAGAACCUCUUAGAAAUUUGAGGGUGCCUUCGGGAAUUCAGUGACAGGUGGUGCAUGGCUGUCGUCAGCUCGUGUCGUGAGAUGUUGGGUUAAGUCCCGCAACGAGCGCAACCCACGUUUUUAGUUGCCAGCAUUUAGUUGGGCACUCUAAGAAGACCGCCGGUGAUAAACCGGAGGAAGGUGUGGAUGACGUCAAGUCAUCAUGCCCCUUACACCCUGGGCUACACACGUACUACAAUGCUACGGACAAAGGGCAGCAAACUCGCGAGAGCUAGCAAAUCCCAUAAACCGUGGCUCAGUUCAGAUCGUAGGCUGCAACUCGCCUACGUGAAGUAGGAAUCGCUAGUAAUCGCAGGUCAGCAUACUGCGGUGAAUACGUUCCCGGGCCUUGUACUCACCGCCCGUC
This 1322-nucleotide ribosomal RNA is filed under the name uncultured bacterium. RNAcentral's name for it is "bacterial SSU rRNA". It matches the Rfam family "Bacterial small subunit ribosomal RNA", at positions 28 to 1398 of the family's 1533-position model. The record is from RNAcentral.